This 251-nucleotide ribosomal RNA is filed under the name uncultured prokaryote. RNAcentral's name for it is "partial 16S rRNA". It matches the Rfam family "Bacterial small subunit ribosomal RNA", at positions 525 to 775 of the family's 1533-position model. The record is from RNAcentral.
ACGGGGGGUGCGAGCGUUGUUCGGAAUUAUUGGGCGUAAAGAGCGUGUAGGCGGCUGAAUAAGUCAGAUGUGAAAUCCCUGGGCUUAACCCAGGACGUGCAUUUGAAACUAUUCGGCUAGAGUAGGGAAGAGGAGAGUGGAAUUCCUGGUGUAGAGGUGAAAUGCGUAGAUAUCAGGAAGAACACCGGUGGCGAAGGCGGCUCUCUGGGACGGUACUGACGCUGAGACGCGAAAGCGUGGGGAGCAAACAG